This 444-nucleotide ribosomal RNA is filed under the name uncultured cyanobacterium. Its description in RNAcentral is "bacterial SSU rRNA". It matches the Rfam family "Bacterial small subunit ribosomal RNA", at positions 338 to 796 of the family's 1533-position model. Lineage: Bacteria; Bacillati; Cyanobacteriota. The record is from RNAcentral.
CCUACGGGAGGCAGCAGUGGGGAAUUUUACGCAAUGGGGGAAACCCUGACGUAGCGACACCGCGUGAGCGAAGAAGCCCUUUGGGGUGUAAAGCUCUGUCAACAGGAACGAAAAAAAUGACGGUACCUGUGGAGGAAGCAUCGGCUAACUACGUGCCAGCAGCCGCGGUAAGACGUAGGAUGCAAGCGUUGUCCGGAUUUAUUGGGCGUAAAGAGUUCGUAGGCGGUUUGUUAAGUCUGAUGUUAAAGACCGGGGCUCAACCUCGGAAAUGCAUUGGAUACUGGCAGACUGGAGUGCAGUAGAGGCUAGUGGAAUUCCCAGUGUAGCGGUGAAAUGCGUAGAUAUUGGGAAGAACACCGGUGGCGUAGGCGACUAGCUGGGCUGUAACUGACGCUGAGGAACGAAAGCCAGGGGAGCAAAUGGGAUUAGAUACCCCGGUAGUCC